RNAcentral lists this ribosomal RNA (253 nucleotides) under uncultured bacterium. Its description in RNAcentral is "partial 16S ribosomal RNA". It matches the Rfam family "Bacterial small subunit ribosomal RNA", at positions 524 to 776 of the family's 1533-position model. The record is from RNAcentral.
UACGGAGGGGGCUAGCGUUGUUCGGAAUUACUGGGCGUAAAGGGUGCGUAGGCGGCGUGUUAAGUCAGGCGUGAAAGCCCCGGGCUCAACCUGGGAACGGCGCUUGGGACUGGCAUGCUUGAGACCGGGAGGGGAUGGCGGAAUUCCCAGUGUAGAGGUGAAAUUCGUAGAUAUUGGGAAGAACACCGGUGGCGAAGGCGGCCAUCUGGACCGGGUCUGACGCUGAGGCACGAAAGCGUGGGGAGCAAACAGG